AUAUGUGGGGUUGAUCUAGUGGUGACAUCUGCCACCUCAUGGUUUGCCAAGGUUGAUUUAGCUGAUCUGGCUGUCUAGGAGAGAUCCUCUUUCUUUUUCUCCCAUCACUGUGUGUGAGCUCUCCUGAAGCUGUGUGACAAGGUGGGUUGCAAGAGGAUACCUCUUGAUAGAGGAAGGUUGUUCUUUGGAGUAGUUCUUUCCCCCGCUAGAUCCUCCAAGCUUUCACAAAACCCAGAACACAUACGACUUAGACCUUUACAAAUCAAGUGUGCACAUAUCUACUAAAGAAUUGGUGAAUGAAA
Molecule: small nuclear RNA, 302 nt
Filed under: Meriones unguiculatus (Mongolian gerbil)
Lineage: Eukaryota; Metazoa; Chordata; Mammalia; Rodentia; Muridae
Description: 7SK RNA (ENSMUGG00000004633.1)
Rfam family: 7SK RNA
About the family: 7SK was discovered as an abundant small nuclear RNA in the mid-70s but a possible function has only recently been suggested. Two independent studies have found that 7SK RNA binds the CDK9/cyclin T complex (known as elongation factor P-TEFb).
Source: RNAcentral